RNAcentral lists this transfer RNA (34 nucleotides) under Glyphomitrium humillimum. RNAcentral's name for it is "partial tRNA-Phe". RNAcentral also lists the same sequence under 6 other names. Lineage: Eukaryota; Viridiplantae; Streptophyta; Bryopsida; Dicranales; Rhabdoweisiaceae. The record is from RNAcentral.
CCGGAAUAGCUCAGUUGGUAGAGCAGAGGACUGA